Molecule: non-coding RNA, 261 nt
Organism: Vicia faba (fava bean)
Lineage: Eukaryota; Viridiplantae; Streptophyta; Magnoliopsida; Fabales; Fabaceae
Source: the annotation of a GenBank genome assembly
AUGUGUUUCAUUUGGCAAAAACUGCUCAUAUCUCUCUUACCGCAACUGAGGUUGAAGAAUUUGGUCCUAAAAUUUAGCAAGUUUGGACAGUUGCAGGGUGUUGAUCUUGAAAGCAUUGAGCCUUCUAUUAGAGCAGAUACUGAAAACAAUUUGUGUGACAAUACUCCUGAAACAUUUGAUCAACGGAAUGCUAUCAUUGCUUCGAUUCCGAGCUAUGAGGAGCCUUACAUUAAAGUUCCAAAGGCCCUAAACGUGGACUGA